Long non-coding RNA from Nicotiana tabacum (common tobacco), 6695 nucleotides. RefSeq lists it as uncharacterized. The record is from RefSeq and is a predicted model, not a curated record. Lineage: Eukaryota; Viridiplantae; Streptophyta; Magnoliopsida; Solanales; Solanaceae.
UAUGUGAUCUAUUUUUAUGCUAGUUGUUAGGAAAUGAAUGCUAAGUGAAAAACUAGAAGAUAUGAUAAGAGCUUGUAGGUAGUGUAAUAACCAAACCGAAUGGUUGGAAAUCGGGGCCUCGAGCUGGCGUAUACGAGGCAUCGAGGUCUAGUCGGAUGCCCGACUUAGGGCAAUUAAGGGAGGAUUAAUAGUUAUGAGAGUUGCGGUGGUGGCUCGUUAUGAUCAAUAAUGAGCAAUAACUGAAGAACAAUAAAUAGAACACGAUGAAUAUAAGCAAUAAAUGUAAGUAAUGAAAUCAAGAGAAUAUGUUAAGUUAGAAAGUAGAGGUAAUGUCCUUGUAUAUUCAAUAUUGUGUAUCAGAUGUCCUACAAAAUAACAAGGGUCGCCUUUAUAUAUGAGGGGAAAUCCCAACAUAGUACAAAUGCAUUUAUUACAAAGGUACAUGGUAGGUAUAUCCAUUCAAUGCCAUAGUAUAGACUUGAACUAGCCAAAUAGACUUGGUCAGCUUUAGUCACAUGCCUUGGGAACUUCCCACUUUUUCACCAUAACUAUCUACCUGCACUGCCCCGAGGUUGGAUGUCGAUAACCCCUCGGGUGUAAAUCUUGGCCAUGGCCUCGAGCCUUUGGAAACAUGCUUAUGAAGCGUCAUAAUGACAAAAAAUUGGACCCUCUGAUUUUACCGUAUACAGAUAGUCCCCGCGUUUCUUAGAGUGAAACGAUAAGAAAGGACUAUGAUAUCUAUCUCCUCUAACUUCCUGCGAUGAUUUCAUCCUUAUGACAUAAGCCUCUGUGAUAACUGAGGCAUCUCGUCUGUUCAUCUUUCCAGAAUCAUUCAAUAUACUGCUGUUUUAUAUUCUCCAAAGCGAUAGUAUCGUUUUCGGUCCAUUUCCUAAAACGCAUUGAUUGCACCUGUCGGUACGUUUUUGAAAGGCAUAGAUUGCGCCGUUGGUUAUGCUUCCACCCUUUUUAUAAAUGGAAGCUUUCUUGAAUCAAAACUUUAUUCAAAUGCUCUUCAACAACCUUUUACCCCUUUCUUCCCUUCAUCCUCAUCCAACACUAUUUCCCAUGUUUGAAGCACGUGGCUAUAAGGUCAUACGACAGUGUUCUCAUCAGUUAUGCCAUGGCCCUUUCCUAGAGCUUUCCCCUACUGAGUGGGAUUGCACUGGUUUGUUUUUGUUGUUGUUGUUGGCCCGAAAUAAUGAGAGAAAUCUCAAAUUAUAUCAGUAUUAAAAGAUAUGCAGACUAUGAACUUAUACUCAUCUCUCUUAACUACCCGGUGCGGAGCAUCACUCCUUUUGCUUUCUGUGGAGUAAGAUGGUUCCAUCUACUAACUGUUGCUUCCCGCACCGGUGCAACGUCUCAAGAAGUGGCUUCACAAUAGUGGCGUUGGCAAGACCCAUACUCGCCAAAUUUUUCACAUAGUCACUUCUUCAUCUUUUUCUGCUUCUUCUUCAUCGUUUUCUACUUCUUCCUCAUCCUUGAAGAUGCCAUUUGGAAAGUCGAGGUGAGGCCCCGAAGAAAUGAUUCUCGAAAGCAUUGCUCCCGAGGAGGUACCCUCGAGAGUAGAUUAGACUUUUAGCUAUUACUUUUGCUUCUUUGUUUCUGUGUAAGGACCCUUCAUAGUCUUUUGUAAUCAUGUGUAAGGUCAUUUCAUGGGCUUAUUGUAAUCAUUGUUUAUUAAUGCAAAGAAGUUUCUUCAAUCUGUCUCUGAUUUAUGCUGGAUUUUCUUUUAUUUGUGUUUAUGAAGAAUCUGAGUGCAUGACUAUACCGAUCGGUCCGAAUACUGGGCCCAGGUAUAGGUAUUUCCCCGGCUCCUAAUUGGUUAAUACAAUAUCCCGUGGAUCCCUUCGUCGCUCCUUGGACUGAUCCCGGGUUGGAUUGAUACAAGCUUAGGCUACCGGGAACCCCGAGUGAGAAUAGAGCUUUGAAUUUAUAGAACGAAAUUAAACCUUUCAUACCCCGUCGAUAGUCCUCGAAAGGGAACUUGCUUAGACAUCUAAGAAUAAAGAUAGCAUUUAGGCUUUUGAAAGCAGUCCCUGAGUGAGAGUUUGCUCAAGCUCAGGCGACCUGAAAACUUGUUUUGAACUUAGAGCGAAGAUAGCCUUAAGGCGUUACAGAUAGAUCGCGGACGAGGGUUCGAAUUGCCCGUAGAUUAAAGUAACCGAGAGGACAUUUAACUCUACCCGAAGGAGAGAAAUAGCCCUAAGGCUUUAUUAGUAGUUUUCGAGCAAAAAUUGGCUCCGGCUCAGGUAGCUAGAGGGUCGGAGGAUAGGGUAAAUGACCCGCACUUGCAAUAGCAGAAAUGUUUACCGUGAAAUGGUACUAACAAUUAAAUUUGAUUUUGGGAUUCUAAAAAUACGUGAUCUAUUUUUCCGCUAGUUUGUUAAGCAGUUGAUGCUAUGUGUUAUGUUUAGAAACGGGAUAAGAGCAAGGAGCGAAGUGAUAACCAAACCGAUAGGCCAAUUAUUGGGGCCUCGAGCUUGCCGAUUCGGGGCCUCGAGAUCGAUUCCGGAGCUCGACAGGGAGCUAUCGAAGGGGGUCGGAAUACGGCUAACAGUUAUAGUAAAAUUAACGUAGGCUCUUUAUGAUCAAUGAUAAGAAAUAAAUGAAGAACAACUAUGAAGAUACUAAAUGAAAGCAAUAAUAUCAAGAGAGUAUGUUAGAGAGCAAGUAGAAUAUUCUUGUAUAUUUCGUGUGGAGCAACUGAAAAAACAUCCCCUUACAAGGUGAGAAGGAUUCUCUUUAUAUAGGAAGGGAAUCCCAUCAUAGUACAACAAGCAUUAAUUACAAAGAUACGGAGAUGUGACAACUAGAGGACACCCUGAUUCGGGUCUUAAACAAGUCCACUACACUUUGUCAGUCCUAGUCGUAUUCCUAGGGAGCUUCCCAUUCCUACCAUCGCCGAGGUCCUCGUUAUCCAUAGUUCAAGUGUCGAUAACCCUCGAGGGAGGGUACUUGGUCCAUGGUCUCGAGCGUUCGAGGUGAUUUUCUAAGAUGACUUAACAACGACAAAUUGGCCUCUUCGAUUUCUCCGUAUACAAAUAAUCCCCACGUUUCUUAGGGAGAAGCGACAAGAAACGAUUUUGACAUUCGACUCUUCGGGCUUCCUAUGAUGGCGUCAUACUAAUGGUAUCAACUUGUGACAUAAGCCUUUGCGAUAACUGGGGCGUAUCAUGGACUUAUUUUUUCAACGCCAUUCAAUACGAUGCCGAUUCCCAUUUUUUAGAGCGACAUUACCACCAUCAACUCGGUGUCCAAUAACGCAUUGAUUGCGCCUGUCGAUCCAUCUUUCAAAGGCAUUGAUGGCAUUGUUGGUCAAAUUAUCAUCCCCUAUAAAUGGGGCCUUCCGGUAUUAUCUUUUUAUCCAAGUGCUUUUCAAUAUCUUUCCAUUCCUUUCUACCCAUUAUUCUCCUUCAUUGCUACAUACCAUGUUUGGGGUCCAUGGCCCUUUGCCUGGGCUUUUCAUCGUUGAGCGAGAUUAUACUAUCUCGUCGCUGUUGUUGUUGUUGUUAUGGUCAUCACUGCUAUCAUUGUUGGCUCGAGACGAUGAGAUAAGGAGGCUGAUCUCUUCCAUCUUGGGAAGGUGUUUGGACUAUACACCGCUACUCAUGAGGGUGCUCGGAUUAUACACCGCUGCUCACCUUCAUAUCCUGGUUCGGUGUGGCAUUUCGCCCCCAACCGGUAGCUUGCACGACUCAAUGUCCCAAGAAGUGGAUUCAAAGUAGUCGUGCAAGUAAGGCCAACACUUGCCAAGUCUCUUACCGGUUCGAGGUUCUCUUGGCCGAUGAGGGUCCUCGUCCUUUGGUGACUAUGGUGUUUUUUCAUCCCCUCCUGCUUCUCCACUUUCCUCCUCCUCAUCUUCUACAAUGAAGACACUGAUUUGGAAGACCGAGACAAGCCCCCUAGAGGCGGUGGUGGUAGAAGAUGCUUCCAAUUAGGAUGCAUACCCGAGGGGAUCACGCUCGAGAAUUGAUUAGACUCUAGGCUUCUCUUGCACAUGUACCUUCUUUGCUUUUUGGUUUCUGUGUAAGGAACCCCCACGGAUCUUGUAAUCAAGUUUUCUAAUUAUAAAGAUGUUUUCCUAGUUUUGUCUUUGAUGUUUGCUAUAUUUCCUUUUAUUUUCAUUUAUGGAGACUCUGAAUGCAUGAUUCUAUCGGCUAUUGUCAAUGUUGAACCCAAAUGCGGAUGUUAUUUGCUAUUUUCAAGUGGAAUGAAAGUAAUGCUUCGAGCCUUGAAACCGUGAUUUAUCACUUAGGCUCUUUUGUAAAUUUUGAGGAGAAAUUUGCUCGGAGGCCCGUGGAUAGGGACUGCCUUUGAUCUUUCAAGGGCAGUCCCCGAGUGGAGGUUCGUUCAAAUCCGGACCACCUGGAAACUUGCUUUGAUCUUAGUGUAAAUAGCCUUAAGGCACUAUAGAUAGAUCUUAAAAGAGGAUUUGUCCGAUCUCAGAUGGUGUCCCAGGGGCAAGCCCAUACGGGUGGAGCCUAAGUGCUUAUUUCCUUGGAGCCUAACCUCUUUUUGAUGGAGGUCCUUGAGAUCCGGUACCACCUCGGGACUGGUGAUGACACCGUUGGCUUUUUAGAGUCUGACUUCUCAUUGAUGAAGGUCCUCGAGGUCAGGUACCACGUCGGGACUGGCGAAGAUGACAUCGGUCAGUGUCCCUACACGGCUUUGAGGCAGGCGGAUCGUCGUCGUUUCUUCCAUGUAUAAAUAAGAUGUUUUAUACUCUUUUGGAGAUCUCACUAUUUUAAGAAAUUGCCCUUCUCUUUCUGUGUCAAACCUUUUAUUAUUUCAGUACUAAUGUACUUUCAUAGAUUCCCACUUUAGUUCUCUAAUUUUUCCAUAGCCAUGACUGCUGCAUUAGGGUCUACCUGGCAGAAAAGGGAAAGCUCUGCCUCCAACAUUAAGGACCAACGAGAGUAUGCCUUUAAGAUUGCUUCUUCGAUAAGAGAAAAACAUCUAGGGUUAGUGAGAAAAGACUGCAGAUGGAGGGGAAAGGUAGUGUUACAGAUACUUCCCCCAGGUGAGGGCAUCACGGAUUACGCCGAUGGAUUCUUCAAAGUGUACAUGUACCCUUUCACACUGGGCCCCCUUGACAGGGUCGUGCUCGACUUUUGUUUGAAGUAUCGGGUUACCUUGGUGCAACUCCAUCAGUCAUUUUGGAAAACAGUAUUUAUGGUGAUAUUUUUCGUGGAGAAGGCGGGGCUUAAAUUUACGCUCAGUCUUCUCAUUAGAUUGUACAACCCCUUUCACCAUCGAAUUCUGCUAACCUUGCAAUGUCGAUCUACCACGCCCUUCAUUGUUGAUGAUGAGGAAGAUAGAGACUGGGAGUGGAUGAGUCGCUUCAUUCGAGUGUGGACUAUUGACAUCAUCCCCAUGGAGCUUAUGCCAUUCUUUGAGGAAUGGAACUAUACACCGGUCUCGUGGGCGCCGAGCAACGUUCCUGAUUUGCUAGAUUGGGUUCGUAAGUUGGCGAUCUACUCGACCUGUGACGAGCAGAGAUGGUGAGUUUUGUCCUAAGGCAGAUAGGAAGUAAAAUAUCAUGGCAUCAGAGAACCUUAUGAGGUGAGGUCGGCUCCUUUGGAGAGGGGGAAGGGUUGCCAGCUUCCGGGCUAAAGAAUGACAACAAUAAGAUAGAGAUACUUUUACAGGGUGAUGGCGUUCAGGGUGAGGCAAAACGGGAUAGGGGCUUCGGAGCAAAAGCAUCAUCCAAGCCUGCCGCAUCCAUGGUUCCUGGCCCUAGAAAGGUGGUUUUUCCAUUGUUGUCUCCCUCUUUUUCCGCCGACACUACUUCAAGGAAUACUAGAAAUCUGGGGUCGCAUACACUGAGCGACCGUGCUUCGACUAGAGUUGACUCUUCCAAGGCUGAAGGAACUGGAUUGGUAGGUGUGCGCUCGGCCUUCGAGGAAGACUGGCAGCUUCACUUUGCGGUCUUCGACAAGCUUAAGUCCGGGCUGCUUCAUCACGAAGCCAGGCUGCGGAAAGCUCAUUCCUUAGGCUCCUUUGUGAUGAAAAGGAGGUCGAGUUGGUAUACUUGCGAUAUGAGGUAUGCCGGAGCUUGAAUUAUGAGUGCUACUUGAAGGAGCAGUUGUAGGAAAAGAAGCAGGCCUUGGAGCGCCUUCGGGAUGAAGUUGGCCGGGCCAGGCGUGAGCUUGAUGAGCUAAAUGCUCGUGCGGAGGCUCAGAUUUUAGAGGGGAACGAUGCUCUGACUAAAGUUCCUACUUUUGAGGCUCAACUGUGCUUAGCACACGACAACGCUUUGGUUCAGACAGAAAUGAUUACGAAGCUCGAGUUUAAGCUUUUGAAGGUCAGGGCUGAAAUCGUUGAUGCCCGAGCUGAAGCAGCAAUAAGCCAAACUAAGGAUGACCAGGAGAUGGCGAACUAUUCAUAGGAUGCUGCCGAUUCUCAAGCUGAGCUGAGAAGGAUCCUCGACUGCGAAGAGAGUUUUGAAGAAUACGCUCACUGUAAAUCUCAAAGAAAGACCCUCGAGGAAAUCUGUUGGCACAAGCGAGGGUGGAAGAGCGUGAUGCUCGGUUGCUUUUGCCCGGUGCUAAACAAAGCGAAGAUGAGGCCGGCAAGCCGUAGCCCCCAGGGGAGGCAUAGAUUUUGCUAUCUACAUGUAGCAUUUUCAAAGCAAGUUUGUAGAUGGAGAUUGUGUUCUUUCGCAUAUAUGUAUAAAAGAAAACCUUGCUACUUUA